Molecule: ribosomal RNA, 447 nt
Filed under: uncultured bacterium
Lineage: Bacteria
Description: bacterial SSU rRNA
Rfam family: Bacterial small subunit ribosomal RNA
Source: RNAcentral
UCGGGAAUUUUGGGCAAUGGGCGAAAGCCUGACCCAGCAACGCCGCGUGAAGGAUGAAGUAUUUCGGUAUGUAAACUUCGAAAGAAUAGGAAGAAUAAAUGACGGUACUAUUUAUAAGGUCCGGCUAACUACGUGCCAGCAGCCGCGGUAAUACGUAGGGACCAAGCGUUGUUCGGAUUUACUGGGCGUAAAGGGCGCGUAGGCGGCAAUUCAAGUCAUCUGUGAAAUCUCCGGGCUUAACUCGGAACGGUCAGAUGAUACUGCUUUGCUAGAGUGCAGAAGGGGCAAUCGGAAUUCUUGGUGUAGCGGUGAAAUGCGUAGAUAUUGGGAAGAACACCAGUGGCGAAGGCGGCUAACUGGUCCGGUACUGACGCUGAGGUGCGAAAGCGUGGGGAGCAAACAGGAUUAGAUACCCAUGUAGUCCCUGAGCGGGCUGGCAAGGCGCAU